Brassica napus (rape) is the source of this 985-nucleotide long non-coding RNA. RefSeq lists it as uncharacterized. Lineage: Eukaryota; Viridiplantae; Streptophyta; Magnoliopsida; Brassicales; Brassicaceae. The transcript has 3 exons. The record is from RefSeq and is a predicted model, not a curated record.
GAGCAAACGAAGCCCUGAACGAAAUCAGAGAAAGAAGAUCAAACUAUGAAUCUGAGAAUAUGAAAGAGGACAAAAACAUGUUGAAUAGAUUUGGCGGAUAACAAAGCCAUCGAGUUUUGGAUCCUACAUUUGGCAAGAGCCUACCCAAGAAAUAGGUAUGAUAUUGUCAUCGUCUCUCUGCAUUAAAUUGAUGACACUUUGAUGAUGAUAUAUUUAAACAUAUUGGAAUCAUGAUACAUAUAUAUAUAUAUAUAUAUCUUCUCAUACUAUUUUUUCGAGGGAGUGUUUUGAAGCUGUCCACGAAACAUGAUAUAUCUUCUCGAUGGAAAUUCCAAUAAUUAUUGACGGUUGAAUCAUCACAAACUUCACUAACUCAGAACAUAAACGAGAACCGGUCGAAAACCAAAGCAGCUUUUUUCGAUGUAAUCAGAAGUGGAUCUACAGCCUUUGCCAACUAUCUGAAACCAAACUGUGUUAUGUGGGUAUCAAGUUUGUUGCCUGAGUUAGUGAAGUUUGUGAUCUGUGGGUAAAUUUAUUUGUGAAGUUUAUUAUACCCAACUAUCAAUUUGCAACCUGACCCGGUCAAGUGCUUAAAGAAAAGCAACAAGAGACUUGAGGAAAACUUGAUUUUUGGAACUCAACUCCAAGAUUGAUUUGAGCCGGUAAAGAAGAAAAUCAAAGCAACCACCCCAUUCAAUAUUUUGCAUCAUGAACGAGCCUCUCAAUCUCAUGACGGAUACUUCUCCACUCUCUCUCUCUCUCUCUCUCUCUCUCUCUCUCUCUCUCUCUCUCUCUCUCUCUCUCUCUCUCUCUAUGAUGUUAUUUUAACGGGUUUCCGCAUGUCUUCUGUUGCAACUUUUUCAGGGGAGACUGUUUGGGUAAAAUGAACAGAUUUCUAAUCCUUUCGCUUAUUUCCCCUUUCAUUCUAUGGCAGAAGCUCAAUUUUGAUGAAUAGUUCAAGCUGAUGUCAUGGCUGGACUUAAUG